UACGAAGGGGGCUAGCGUUGCUCGGAAUCACUGGGCGUAAAGCGCACGUAGGCGGAUCGUUAAGUCAGAGGUGAAAUCCUGGAGCUCAACUCCAGAACUGCCUUUGAUACUGGCGAUCUUGAGUUCGGGAGAGGUGAGUGGAACUGCGAGUGUAGAGGUGAAAUUCGUAGAUAUUCGCAAGAACACCAGUGGCGAAGGCGGCUCACUGGCCCGAUACUGACGCUGAGGUGCGAAAGCGUGGGGAGCAAACAGG
This 253-nucleotide ribosomal RNA is filed under the name uncultured bacterium. Its description in RNAcentral is "partial 16S ribosomal RNA". It matches the Rfam family "Bacterial small subunit ribosomal RNA", at positions 524 to 776 of the family's 1533-position model. The record is from RNAcentral.